This 301-nucleotide ribosomal RNA is filed under the name uncultured bacterium. Its description in RNAcentral is "partial 16S ribosomal RNA". It matches the Rfam family "Bacterial small subunit ribosomal RNA", at positions 509 to 807 of the family's 1533-position model. The record is from RNAcentral.
CAGUAGCCGCGGUAAUACGUAGGGUGCGAGCGUUAAUCGGAAUUACUGGGCGUAAAGCGUGCGCAGGCGGUUCGUUAAGACAGAUGUGAAAUCCCCGGGCUUAACCUGGGAACUGCAUUUGUGACUGGCGAGCUAGAGUAUGGCAGAGGGGGGUAGAAUUCCACGUGUAGCAGUGAAAUGCGUAGAGAUGUGGAGGAAUACCGAUGGCGAAGGCAGCCCCCUGGGCCAAUACUGACGCUCAUGCACGAAAGCGUGGGGAGCAAACAGGAUUAGAUACCCCAGUAGUCCCUGUCUCUUAUAC